GUUGUGGCAUAUGCUUCAGAUCUCAUAUUCUCUGGCGUUAGCCUAGAUCCUCACAGGCAAAAAGGUCUCAAGACUGCAUUGCUCAGUCUGGAUCACUCGAUGUGGUUCCACAGAUCUGUCAAAGCUGACGACUGGUUAUUGUUUGUGAUAGAGAGCCCUUCGGCCUUUGGCGGACGAGGAUUCGUCACCGGCCGAAUGUUUAACCAAAAAGGCGAGCUUAUUGUUUCACUAACACAAGAAGCUCUGAUUCGGAAAGCAAAAACACAGAACCAGGUCCCUCAGUCAAAACUCUAGAGCUGUUUGCCAGUACCAGAAGAACAGGAAACCAUGGGUAUUGGUGGAGCAGUACUACAGUUUCAAUUUACUUCCCAAUAUUAAGCUUCUAUUUUAUGAAAUUUUCUACAAAUUAUGGGCUUAUGUGUAAAUACUGAUGAUUUUGUUGUUGUAGCUAAUAAUAAGCUGAUUUAUCUGCAGAAAAAAAAAAAAAAUUAUUGAAGUGCUGAAGAAUUUGUGAUGAUUACAAGAAGUUGUGGGAUGUGUAAUGAAGUCUCUUAUAGCUUAUGGAAAUAGUUGUAAGAAUAAGCUCUUCACAUUGUUCAUAAAUUACUCUGGGAAUUAGAUUUUAAGUUUCUUUUUAUUUUU
Molecule: long non-coding RNA, 642 nt
Organism: Phalaenopsis equestris
Lineage: Eukaryota; Viridiplantae; Streptophyta; Magnoliopsida; Asparagales; Orchidaceae
Exons: 5
Source: RefSeq, a predicted model, not a curated record